UCCGGUUUAGACCGGCGGUCUCCUUAGAGAAGUUAACUAAGGACAAAGGUUGCGCUCGUUGCGGGACUUAACCCAACACCUCACGACACGAGCUGACGACAGCCAUGCAGCACCUCGACUAGUGUCCCUUGCGGGAAAAGCGACUUUCGCCGCCUGUCACUAGCCGUUCGAGCCCAGGUAAGGUUCUUCGCGUUGCGUCGAAUUAAACCACAUACUCCACCGCUUGUGCGGGGCCCCGUCAAUUCCUUUGAGUUUUAGCCUUGCGGCCGUACUCCCCAGGCGGGGUGCUUAAUGCGUUAGCUUCGGCACGGACGGGGUCGAUAUCCGCCCACACCUAGCACCCAACGUUUACGGCUAGGACUA
RNAcentral lists this unclassified non-coding RNA (363 nucleotides) under uncultured bacterium. RNAcentral's name for it is "contains 16S-23S intergenic spacer region". The record is from RNAcentral.